UGCCAGCAUGACGUGCCCUGGCUUGGUGUGGGCACUCGUGGUCUCCGCCUGUCUUGGUAAGGAAGGCACUUGCACUUGCACUUGCUUUGACUAGUAUCCAACAGGACUGGAAAGUAGGAAGAAAGAUUAAAAAUAGCACAGGGAUCUGAUCUCCUCAUUGGGCCCACACAGUGUGGGUGAGAAAGCUGAUGGAUUUUGCCUGAAGUUUGGAUCAAGAAGAAGAAGGGUGGGUGGGGACGGGAACCAGCUCGUGAGGGUCUGUCCCCGUCUCUGACACGAUGCCCCAGGGAGGCCCUUUCUCUGCUCUUUCCCGCAGGACGCAGUGUGGCCCAGACAGUCACUCAGUCCCAACCGAAGAUGUCCGUGCGGCGGGGCGGGACUGUGACCCUGGACUGCACGUACGCCGCUAGUGUGAAUUAUUAUUAUUUGUACUGGCAUAAACAGACUCCCAGCGGGCAGAUGAUUCUCGUUAUUAGCCAAGGAUCUCAUGACCAACAGCCUGCAAGAAGGAGUCGCUUCUCUGUGGACUUCCGGAAAGCAGCCAAAUUGUUCAGUCUCAGGAUCUCAGACUCGCGGCCGGAGGACGCCGCGCUGUAUUUCUGUGUUUUCUCCGAACGCCGCCCCCGGCGAGACAAACGAUAGGAA
Lemur catta (Ring-tailed lemur) is the source of this 645-nucleotide non-coding RNA. The record is from the annotation of a RefSeq genome assembly. NCBI's taxonomy places the organism in Eukaryota, Metazoa, Chordata, Mammalia, Primates, Lemuridae.